GGGGAAACUUACCGGGUCCGGACACAUUGAGGAUUGACAGGAGCAUACUUCAAAUAGUGUUAUGAUAUUAUUCAUUUAAUAUUGUAAUUCUCAUUUGUUGUAUAUCAAAUAUGCUAGUCCUUUCAUGAUUGUGUGAUAGGUGGUGCAUGGCCGUUCUUAGUUCGUGGAGUGAUCUGUCUGCUUAAUUGCGUUUCACUUAUUUAAAGGCGCACUGCGCGUCGUUUGUUCUUACUGUGUUCUUUAAUUAGACAUGUGGACAAUGUACAUAUGCAGUGACGACCUUGAAGGCAACGA
RNAcentral lists this ribosomal RNA (294 nucleotides) under Allogromiina sp. 347. RNAcentral's name for it is "partial 18S ribosomal RNA". It matches the Rfam family "Eukaryotic small subunit ribosomal RNA", at positions 1207 to 1435 of the family's 1831-position model. Lineage: Eukaryota; Foraminifera; Allogromiidae. The record is from RNAcentral.